ACGGCCUACCAAAGCAACGAUCAGUAGCCGGCCUGAGAGGGUGAACGGCCACAUUGGGACUGAGACACGGCCCAAACUCCUACGGGAGGCAGCAUG
This 96-nucleotide ribosomal RNA is filed under the name uncultured bacterium. RNAcentral's name for it is "partial 16S ribosomal RNA". It matches the Rfam family "Bacterial small subunit ribosomal RNA", at positions 260 to 353 of the family's 1533-position model. The record is from RNAcentral.